Molecule: ribosomal RNA, 274 nt
Filed under: uncultured bacterium
Lineage: Bacteria
Description: partial 16S ribosomal RNA
Source: RNAcentral
CUGCUGCCUUCCGUAGGAGUUUGGACCGUGUCUCAGUUCCAAUGUGGGGGACCUUCCUCUCAGAACCCCUACGCAUCGUCGGCUUGGUGGGCCGUUGCCCCCACCAACUACCUAAUGCGCCGCAUGCCCAUCCAUGACCGGGGUCGCCCCCUUUGACCGGCAGGGGAUGUCCCCUCCCGGCAUUAUGUUGUAUUAGGCGGGAUUUCUCCCGGUUAUCCAUCUGUCACGGCCAGGUUGCAUACGUGUUACUCACCCGUGCGCCGGUCGCCGGCGG